CCUACGGGUGGCAGCAGUAGGGAAUAUUGCUCAAUGGGGGAAACCCUGAAGCAGCAACGCCGCGUGGAGGAUGAAGGUUUUCGGAUUGUAAACUCCUUUUGUUAGAGAAGAUAAUUACGGUAUCUAACGCAUAAUCACCGGCUAACUCCGUGCCAGCAGCCGCGGUAAUACGGAGGGUGCAAGCGUUACUCGGAAUUACUGGGCGUAAAGGGAGCGUAGACGGGUUAGCAAGUCAGAUGUGAAAUCCUAUGGCUUAACCAUAGAACUGCAAUUGAAACUGGUAGUCUAGAGUAUGGGAGAGGUAGGUGGAAUUCGUGGUGUAGGGGUAAAAUCCGUAGAGAUCAAGAAGAAUACUGAUUGCGAAGGCGACCUGCUAGAACGUAACUGACACUGAUGCGCGAAAGCGUGGGGAGCAAACAGGAUUAGAUACCCGAGUAGUC
RNAcentral lists this ribosomal RNA (440 nucleotides) under uncultured bacterium. RNAcentral's name for it is "partial 16S ribosomal RNA". It matches the Rfam family "Bacterial small subunit ribosomal RNA", at positions 338 to 795 of the family's 1533-position model. The record is from RNAcentral.